UUCACGGUAAACGAACGAAUUUGGUUUUGUCAUACCACGUGACAUUUUCCCUCACAUGUAUUGCCCUGACACAUUGCUAGAUGUCAAUCAGGGACGGCGAUUGUGAAUUGACGAUAAAUUAAAAGGGUGUUUUAAUUUAUCAAUUUUGAUUAGAUCAAAAUAAUAUUUCACGUCGUUAGGCAUCGUGGUCGGGAACCUAAUGGGUCACACACAAAAGAGAAUUGGAAGAUUGCAAAUUGCCAAUUGAUUAAUUUAACAAUCGUUGGAUAAAUUAAUUAAUUGGAUUUGUUAUUUAUAUUUUCGAAUUAAUUAAUUGGAUUAAUUAAUUCACG
Molecule: long non-coding RNA, 332 nt
Filed under: Olea europaea (common olive)
Lineage: Eukaryota; Viridiplantae; Streptophyta; Magnoliopsida; Lamiales; Oleaceae
Description: long non-coding RNA (OEUR_LNC009089)
Source: RNAcentral